CACGUAGGCACCAAGCGUUGUUCGGAUUUAUUGGGCGUAAAGGGCUCGUAGGCGGUUCGGUAAGUCGGGUGUGAAAACUCUGGGCUCAACCCAGAGCCGCCACCCGAUACUGCUGUGACUCGAGUGCGGUAGGGGAGCGGGGAAUUCCUGGUGUAGCGGUGAAAUGCGCAGAUAUCAGGAGGAACACCAGUGGCGAAGGCGCCGCUCUGGGCCGUGACUGACGCUGAAGAGCGAAAGCGUGGGUAGCAAACAGG
This 254-nucleotide ribosomal RNA is filed under the name uncultured bacterium. RNAcentral describes it as "partial 16S ribosomal RNA". It matches the Rfam family "Bacterial small subunit ribosomal RNA", at positions 524 to 776 of the family's 1533-position model. The record is from RNAcentral.